GGAGCGGGUAGGCAACCGACACAUGAGCUCAUGGCCUGCGUUAGGGAUAGACAUGCAUCAUGUUGUUUGCACAUUUGCAUUUGAUUGCGCUUGCUUGUCUUAUUAUUUUGUGAUUGUAUUGUUUGUCUUGUUGUGACUUGCUUGUACAUUGAAUUGAAUCUCUUGCUUGCACUACUUGUUUGUGAGUGUAUUAAAGUAAUUACGAGUUGACAUUUGACUGAGGAUUAAUAUGUGGCUGAGAGACAGAAAAUGUGACUAAUUUAUAUUUAAGUUUUGUUUUGAGUUAAGAGUAUUUUCAAAGGGUUUGAUAAAAAUAUAUUUUUUUAUUGAGUAAAGUUAAUUAUUUGCAUUUUAUUCCAUUACUUUUACGGCAUUCUCAUUCCCUACUGAG
Molecule: long non-coding RNA, 391 nt
Filed under: Arachis ipaensis
Lineage: Eukaryota; Viridiplantae; Streptophyta; Magnoliopsida; Fabales; Fabaceae
Description: long non-coding RNA (AIPA_LNC002283)
Source: RNAcentral